GAUGAACGCUGGCGGCGUGCUUAACACAUGCAAGUCGAACGAAGCACUUUAUUUGAUUUCCUUCGGGACUGAUUAUUUUGUGACUGAGUGGCGGACGGGUGAGUAACGCGUGGGUAACCUGCCUUGUACAGGGGGAUAACAGUUGGAAACGGCUGCUAAUACCGCAUAAGCGCACGGCAUCGCAUGAUGCAGUGUGAAAAACUCCGGUGGUAUAAGAUGGACCCGCGUUGGAUUAGCUAGUUGGUGAGGUAACGGCCCACCAAGGCGACGAUCCAUAGCCGACCUGAGAGGGUGACCGGCCACAUUGGGACUGAGACUCGGCCCAAACUCCUACGGGAGGCAGCAGUGGGGAAUAUUGCACAAUGGGCGAAAGCCUGAUGCAGCGACGCCGCGUGAGCGAAGAAGUAUUUCGGUAUGUAAAGCUCUAUCAGCAGGGAAGAUAAUGACGGUACCUGACGAAGAAGCACCGGCUAAAUACGUG
This 481-nucleotide ribosomal RNA is filed under the name uncultured bacterium. Its description in RNAcentral is "partial 16S ribosomal RNA". It matches the Rfam family "Bacterial small subunit ribosomal RNA", at positions 28 to 507 of the family's 1533-position model. The record is from RNAcentral.